RNAcentral lists this unclassified non-coding RNA (425 nucleotides) under soil metagenome. Its description in RNAcentral is "partial contains 5.8S ribosomal RNA, internal transcribed spacer 2, and large subunit ribosomal RNA". The stretch from base 1 to 120 matches the Rfam family "5.8S ribosomal RNA", at positions 35 to 154 of the family's 154-position model. The record is from RNAcentral.
GAUGAAGAACGCAGCGAAAUGCGAUAAGUAGUGUGAAUUGCAGAAUUCCGUGAAUCAUCGAAUCUUUGAACGCACAUUGCGCCUUCUGGUAUUCCGGAAGGCAUGCCUGUUCGAGAGUCAUUGACAACCGUUUCGAUCCCUUUCUUUCAGAAAUUACAAAGAGGAAAAGGGUUUGGUUAUGGUGGAGGAGGGAAAGGGAGCGUUUAGCCUGUAAAAAAAGAGGCUGUGUUCCGCCUCCCCCCCAAAAUUGUACAGGCGGUCGUGUGCGCCCACGCAUCGAGGUGUUGUAAAAGCUGCCACGGCACUUUUCACCUGUGCAGUGCGAGAUUGGCCAGCCGGUUUAAAAACCCCUCCAAACAAUCAAAGGUUGACCUCGGAUCAGGUAGGGAUACCCGCUGAACUUAAGCAUAUCAAUAAGCGGAGGA